AAAACUGUUAUGUAUAAUUUUUUUUAUUAAUUUUUUUAAAAUAAUUUUCUACAUUCUUAUAUUAUAUUAAAAAAUAACAAAUAAAUUAUUUAUCCUAAAAUUUGAAUUUAUUCCUAGAUAUAGACUUUGAAAAAUAAAAAAUUCAUAACAUUUUUUUUAUUUUAUCAACACUUAUAUAAAAUGUAAAUUAAAAAUCUAAAUUAGAAAUCUAAAUACCAAAAAUUGAAUAUUAAAAGUGAAAAAAAGAAAAAAGAAAAAAAUUUAGGAAAUUUAGAAAUUAACCCCCCCCCCAAACUAGAAGCCCUAGUUUUGUUCGUCCUCUCCUCCCUGUCUCUCUCGACUCUCUCUCUCCCCUCUCG
This 359-nucleotide long non-coding RNA is filed under the name Salvia miltiorrhiza (redroot sage). RNAcentral's name for it is "long non-coding RNA (SMIL_LNC010637)". The record is from RNAcentral. Lineage: Eukaryota; Viridiplantae; Streptophyta; Magnoliopsida; Lamiales; Lamiaceae.